This 85-nucleotide transfer RNA is filed under the name Felis catus (domestic cat). It matches the Rfam family "tRNA". From Rfam's summary of the family: Transfer RNA (tRNA) molecules are approximately 80 nucleotides in length. Their secondary structure includes four short double-helical elements and three loops (D, anti-codon, and T loops). Further hydrogen bonds mediate the characteristic L-shaped molecular structure. tRNAs have two regions of fundamental functional importance: the anti-codon, which is responsible for specific mRNA codon recognition, and the 3' end, to which the tRNAs corresponding amino acid is attached (by aminoacyl-tRNA synthetases). tRNAs cope with the degeneracy of the genetic code in two manners: having more than one tRNA (with a specific anti-codon) for a particular amino acid; and 'wobble' base-pairing, i.e. permitting non-standard base-pairing at the 3rd anti-codon position. The record is from Rfam by way of RNAcentral. Lineage: Eukaryota; Metazoa; Chordata; Mammalia; Carnivora; Felidae.
GCCUGGGUGGCUUAGUUGGUUAAGUGUUGGACUUCAGCUCAGGUCACGAUCUCUAGGUUUGUGGGUUCAAGCCCCGCAUCAGGCU